This 213-nucleotide ribosomal RNA is filed under the name uncultured bacterium. Its description in RNAcentral is "partial 16S ribosomal RNA". It matches the Rfam family "Bacterial small subunit ribosomal RNA", at positions 28 to 240 of the family's 1533-position model. The record is from RNAcentral.
GACGAACGCUGGCGGCGUGCUUAACACAUGCAAGUCGAGCGGUAAGGCCCUUUCGGGGGCACACGAGCGGCGAACGGGUGAGUAACACGUGGGUGACCUGCCCUUAGCUCUGGGAUAAGCCUGGGAAACUGGGUCUAAUACCGGAUAUGACUCCAUGACGCAUGUUGUGGGGUGGAAAGCCUUGUGCGGCUAGGGGAUGGGGCCCGCGGCCUA